Molecule: long non-coding RNA, 434 nt
Filed under: Mytilus galloprovincialis (Mediterranean mussel)
Lineage: Eukaryota; Metazoa; Mollusca; Bivalvia; Mytilida; Mytilidae
Source: RNAcentral
CCGUAUUUGCACAACUUUUUGGAAUUUUGGGUCCUCAAUGCUCUUCAACUUUGUACUUGUUUGGCUUUAUAACUAUUUUGAUCUGAGCGUCACUGAUGAGUCUUAUGUAGACGAAACGCGUCUGGCGUAUUAUAUUAAAUCCUUGUACCUUUGAUAACUAUUACAACAGUUAUUUUGUGAUUGAAUUUGGGCUACUGAUAAGGACACUAUUAGAUAUAUUAAAAACUUAUCUAUACUUGGGCGAUUUAAUGCUUGACAAAUUAUACUGUAGAUACUUGACUUAUAUCUAUAAGAAUAUAAAAAAGAAGAUGUGAUAUGAUUGCCAAUGAGACAACUAUCCACAAAAGACCAAAAUGACACAGAAAUCAACUAUAGUUCACCGUACGGCCUUCAACCUAUAAGAAGUUGGGUUAUGAUUGCCAAUGAGACAACUU